Molecule: ribosomal RNA, 320 nt
Filed under: uncultured eukaryote
Lineage: Eukaryota
Description: partial 18S ribosomal RNA
Rfam family: Eukaryotic small subunit ribosomal RNA
Source: RNAcentral
CCCUUAGAUGUUCUGGGCUGCACGCGUGUUACAAUCGGGAGUACAACGAGAUUGCAAAUCCUAGUGGAUGAGUGGUUCUUCGAAAUUUUCUGAAGACUGGGAUAGUUGAUUGAAAUUAUUCAACUCGAACGAGGAAUUCCUUGUAAUUGUAAUUCAUUAUAUUGUAAUGAAUACGUCCCUGCCCUUUGUACACACCGCCCGUCGCUCCUACCGAUUGAACGAUCCGGUGAAUUAUUUGGAGUAGCUCUGGAAGUUGCAGAACUUCCUAUGUCACGAAAUUUUGUAAACCUUAUCGUUUAGAGGAAGGAAAAGUCGUAACA